AUUGAACGCUGGCGGCAGGCCUAACACAUGCAAGUCGAACGGUAACAGGAAACAGCUUGCUGUUUCGCUGACGAGUGGCGGACGGGUGAGUAAUGUCUGGGAAACUGCCUGAUGGAGGGGGAUAACUACUGGAAACGGUAGCUAAUACCGCAUAACGUCGCAAGACCAAAGAGGGGGACCUUCGGGCCUCUUGCCAUCGGAUUUGCCCAGAUGGGAUUAGCUAGUAGGUGGGGUAACGGCUCACCUAGGCGACGAUCCCUAGCUGGUCUGACAGGAUGACGAGCCACACUGGAACUGAGACACGGUCCAGACUCCUACGGGAGGCAGCAGUGGGGAAUAUUGCACAAUGGGCGCAAGCCUGAUGCAGCCAUGCCGCGUGUAUGAAGAAGGCCUUCGGGUUGUAAAGUACUUUCAGCGGGGAGGAAGGGAGUAAAGUUAAUACCUUUACUCAUUGACGUUACCCGCAGAAGAAGCACCGGCUAACUCCGUG
RNAcentral lists this ribosomal RNA (490 nucleotides) under uncultured bacterium. Its description in RNAcentral is "partial 16S ribosomal RNA". It matches the Rfam family "Bacterial small subunit ribosomal RNA", at positions 30 to 507 of the family's 1533-position model. The record is from RNAcentral.